UCGUUUGACAAUAUAUAAUUGUCUGAAUGGCUCGACCCCCCCCCCCUUUCAUCUCUCUCACCCAUCUCCUCUUCAAAAACCUUCAAAGAAACCCUAGCGUCGCCUCAAAUCGGCCCCAAAUUUACACCAUGUAGCCCUUAGCCCAUCCUCUUUCCAUAACCCAAAAACACAUCUUUUGAAGCCCUCUACAUCUCGUCGAAUUUCAAAUCUGAGGUGGAAACUCUAAAUCCCCUCCAAAUUAGUAGUUUCAGCGAAGGAUUUGAGGCUGAAGUUGAUUUUAUUCGUGCGUUUUCGUUGAGAACACACGAUUAAUGUCUAUUUCGGUCAAAAUCGAGAGUUCCAGGAAUCGUUCAAGGUCUUGCCUGCCUGGGUUUAGGUAUUUCAAUUUCUCUUUCUUUCAUUUUUCUUUUCGUUUCAUUCCUAGUUCUUCAUCUUCUUCUGUUUCUUUUCCUUUUUAUUUUAAAAUCUUUUCUACAUGUCCGUAAUUCUAACCAGUAUAUUUUGUUUCUUUUGUUUUAGUUCUCUCUUAAAUUUUCCUCCUGUUUUGUUUUGCUUUAUUUGGAAUCUUUGGUUCCCAGAGUUCAUAUAACUCCGAGUUGUUCCUUUUCUUCAAUCUCUCUGUUGGAUUUCGAUUGAAUUGGGCUCUAUUAAUUAGAGGCUCAAAGAAAAGGGGAUUAGCCCGGGUUUGGUAAACCCACGUCUGGUUAUUCUUGGGUCCAAAUUGACCUAUAUUUAUGCUGGGGUAAUUAACAGGGGUUACAAGGGUAAUUCAGGGUUUUUAGGUUAGAGAAUCUCUCAUAACUGAUUGGGAAACUUCUAGGAAGGUGGGGUUUGGGACUGUUUUAAAAAAUAGAAUUUAAAUGUAGGGAUUAACUGGCAAAAAUGAGAAUUUAAAAAGGAGUAAGGGCAAUAACUUGACUCAUUUCUGCUACCCUAAAGUUUUCCUAUAAAAGGGUGUAACUUCUUAAUCAAGGAAGAUUUUUUUUGAGAGACGAAAAAAAACACCAAAGAAUUUAGUAACGGCUGAGCCUCUUAAAAAACUCAAAGAACUGAAAUUUGCUGGAAAUUUUCUUGGCUUCUGUUUCUUUGAUUCCUUUUGGUUGAUUGGAGCUUCUAAAAGUUUCCAAGUCGUGCAUCUGGGUUAAAAAAGGGUUUAAGUUGAUUUGAAAGCUUGGUUUGAUUUGCUGGUUUUAUCAUUGUUCCAUUGCUGACCUAUUGCUGUUGUUUCCUCUUAAAUUUCAAGCUCAAUUUUCCUUGUUUUUGAUUGCUGUAACCAGGUAUUUACUGAAUCUCACUUGGCAUGAUGAAAGGAUCUGCAGUUGUAAACUGAAUUGGAAAUCUAUGGCCUCUGUGAAGACCAAAUGUCUCUUCUAGGCUUUUAAACUCACUUAAUUCUGUAGAAGUUCAAUCUUCUCUUCUUGCAUUCUGUUUAGUUUAUUUAUGUUAUUAGUUGAGUACUGGUGACUAUUGGAUUUCAGAAUAAUUAGCAUGUCGAUUUCAUAAGAUUUUGUUCAUAACAUUACAGCCGUGAAUGUUAAAAUAUGUAUAAAGUUUAUAUCUAGACUGUAGGUUUUUUAUCAUUUUAGUUUCAUUUGGGUUUGAAACUAUCUGCCAUAUGUUUGGAUGUGGAUUGUUAUAAGGUGGUCUUAGGAGGAUAGAAAACUCUUUUUGUUAGGCUUUUGAUCACAUUGGCUCAAGAUGGUAGUGAUUGCAAGAUUACAGUUAAUUAACUUAUGGUUAUUUACCUCUUUUAGAUGUUGGUUUAAGCAUUUGAACAAAUUUAGCACAUGUUGUUGUAUUUUGAUAGCUGAUUCGAAUGGUUGUAACACUCUACUAUAGCCAUUAAGGGUGCUAGUUCAAUGAUGAUUAGUAGUGAUUCUGGGUUUUCAAAUCUGUAUGAUUUGUAUGUUCUUUGAAAAUGAAGAUUUUAUUUUGUCUUGGAAAAAUGAGAAAAAGCUUGCUCUUGUGUUUCUUUUCAUUAUAAAAGUAGGAUGUACAAUUUGAAAUGGUUAAAUGUAAUGUGUGUAAUUUAAAUUUGGGAUGUUAAAUGAUGAAACGAUCUACGUGUGAGCUGUUAUCACGUCAGAAAUUGUACCUUCAUUUUAGAAUAUAUGUCAGCAUCAAAAAUAUGCUUUGCAUCUGUUCAAGGAUUAUCAGUAUUUG
This 2163-nucleotide long non-coding RNA is filed under the name Nicotiana tabacum (common tobacco). Its description in RNAcentral is "long non-coding RNA (NTAB_LNC011011)". The record is from RNAcentral. Lineage: Eukaryota; Viridiplantae; Streptophyta; Magnoliopsida; Solanales; Solanaceae.